GUGGGGAAUUUUGGACAAUGGGCGCAAGCCUGAUCCAGCAAUGCCGCGUGCAGGAAGAAGGCCUUCGGGUUGUAAACUGCUUUUGUACGGAACGAAACGGUCCUGGUUAAUACCUGGGGCUAAUGACGGUACCGUAAGAAUAAGCACCGGCUAACUACGUGCCAGCAGCCGCGGUAAUACGUAGGGUGCGAGCGUUAAUCGGAAUUACUGGGCGUAAAGCGUGAGCAGUCGGUGCUGUAAGACAGGCGUGAAAUCCCCGGGCGCAACCUGGGAAUUGCGCUUGUGACUGCAGUGCUGGAGUGCGGCAGAGGGGGAUGGAAUUCCGCGUGUAGCAGUGAAAUGCGUAGAUAUGCGGAGGAACACCGAUGGCGAAGGCAAUCCCCUGGGCCUGCACUGACGCUCAUGCACGAAAGCGUGGGGAGCAAACAGGAUUAGAAACCCCAGUAGUCC
RNAcentral lists this ribosomal RNA (450 nucleotides) under uncultured bacterium. RNAcentral describes it as "partial 16S ribosomal RNA". It matches the Rfam family "Bacterial small subunit ribosomal RNA", at positions 354 to 796 of the family's 1533-position model. The record is from RNAcentral.